CUACGGGUUGCAGCAGUGAGGAAUAUUGGUCAAUGGACGGAAGUCUGAACCAGCCAUCCCGCGUGCAGGAAGACGGCCCUAUGGGUUGUAAACUGCUUUUCUGAAGGAAGAAUAAUUCCGAGUUUCUCGGGAGAUGACGGUACUUCAGGAAUAAGCAUCGGCUAACUCCGUGCCAGCAGCCGCGGUAAUACGGAGGAUGCAAGCGUUAUCCGGAUUUAUUGGGUUUAAAGGGUGCGUAGGCGGAUAAAUAAGUCAGUGGUGAAAUCUCUCGGCUCAACCGGGAAACUGCCAUUGAUACUGUUUAUCUUGAGUUCGGCAGAGGUAGGCGGAAUGUGUAAUGUAGCGGUGAAAUGCUUAGAUAUUACACAGAACACCAAUUGCGUAGGCAGCUUACUAUACCGACACUGACGCUGAGGCACGAAAGCGUGGGGAGCGAACAGGAUUAGAUACCCCGGUAGUC
Molecule: ribosomal RNA, 460 nt
Filed under: uncultured bacterium
Lineage: Bacteria
Description: partial 16S ribosomal RNA
Rfam family: Bacterial small subunit ribosomal RNA
Source: RNAcentral